Molecule: ribosomal RNA, 778 nt
Filed under: Ligilactobacillus salivarius
Lineage: Bacteria; Bacillati; Bacillota; Bacilli; Lactobacillales; Lactobacillaceae
Description: bacterial SSU rRNA
Rfam family: Bacterial small subunit ribosomal RNA
Source: RNAcentral
AGCGUGGCGGCGUGCCUAAUACAUGCAAGUCGAACGAAACUUUCUUACACCGAAUGCUUGCAUUCACCGUAAGAAGUUGAGUGGCGGACGGGUGAGUAACACGUGGGUAACCUGCCUAAAAGAAGGGGAUAACACUUGGAAACAGGUGCUAAUACCGUAUAUCUCUAAGGAUCGCAUGAUCCUUAGAUGAAAGAUGGUUCUGCUAUCGCUUUUAGAUGGACCCGCGGCGUAUUAACUAGUUGGUGGGGUAACGGCCUACCAAGGUGAUGAUACGUAGCCGAACUGAGAGGUUGAUCGGCCACAUUGGGACUGAGACACGGCCCAAACUCCUACGGGAGGCAGCAGUAGGGAAUCUUCCACAAUGGACGCAAGUCUGAUGGAGCAACGCCGCGUGAGUGAAGAAGGUCUUCGGAUCGUAAAACUCUGUUGUUAGAGAAGAACACGAGUGAGAGUAACUGUUCAUUCGAUGACGGUAUCUAACCAGCAAGUCACGGCUAACUACGUGCCAGCAGCCGCGGUAAUACGUAGGUGGCAAGCGUUGUCCGGAUUUAUUGGGCGUAAAGGGAACGCAGGCGGUCUUUUAAGUCUGAUGUGAAAGCCUUCGGCUUAACCGGAGUAGUGCAUUGGAAACUGGAAGACUUGAGUGCAGAAGAGGAGAGUGGAACUCCAUGUGUAGCGGUGAAAUGCGUAGAUAUAUGGAAGAACACCAGUGGCGAAAGCGGCUCUCUGGUCUGUAACUGACGCUGAGGUUCGAAAGCGUGGGUAGCAACAGGAUAGA